UCCGUAGGUAAGUACAAUCGGAUUAUCCUCUUCGAUUAUGAAAUCUUCCGAUAGCUAAUUCUUCUUUAGGUGAACCUGCGGAGGGAUCAUUA
RNAcentral lists this ribosomal RNA (92 nucleotides) under Trypethelium platystomum. Its description in RNAcentral is "partial 18S ribosomal RNA". Lineage: Eukaryota; Fungi; Ascomycota; Dothideomycetes; Trypetheliales; Trypetheliaceae. RNAcentral also lists the same sequence under 1 other name. The record is from RNAcentral.